Molecule: ribosomal RNA, 253 nt
Filed under: uncultured bacterium
Lineage: Bacteria
Description: partial 16S ribosomal RNA
Rfam family: Bacterial small subunit ribosomal RNA
Source: RNAcentral
UACGUAGGGUGCGAGCGUUAAUCGGAAUUACUGGGCGUAAAGCGCACGUAGGCGGCUUUGUAAGUUAGAGGUGAAAGCCCGGGGCUCAACUCCGGAACUGCCUUUAAGACUGCAUCGCUUGAAUCCGGGAGAGGUGAGUGGAAUUCCGAGUGUAGAGGUGAAAUUCGUAGAUAUUCGGAAGAACACCAGUGGCGAAGGCGGCUCACUGGACCGGUAUUGACGCUGAGGUGCGAAAGCGUGGGGAGCAAACAGG